UGAUGGAUGAUGAUGGAGGAAUAAUCUGGGAACAUCUGGACUCACCGUCUCAGAGCUGCUGUCUUAAAAUGACAAAUGUGGGCUCAAAUGCAGCAUCCACUGAGGCAUUUUUAUUACAACCCAAAGAAAAGAGCCGUUUUUGUAUGUUUCUUCUGCAUCCUCUGCCUACAUUUCCCAGAACCCCUUGCGUCAUCCCUUAAGCAAACAUGCCCGGACUCAUCCAGCCGCUGCUGCUAACAUGCUGGUGAUAGCAGAGGUGAUAAUGACACUAACAGCAAGCGUCUCCCGGUGGGCUGAGAGUGAGAGUUGUUGUGACCAUUGUUCAGACCACAACACGUCUUUUUUUUUUGGCCGCUUUGGAUCUCAAUCUGCUGAGGCCACUGUCAGCAAAGAUUUAGAUGUUUCUGCAUCUGCAGCUCCACUGAGGAUCCCUCCAUUCCAUUCUGGCAGCAGAGAAAGUCUGUGAAAGCUGUGUGGAACAAUGUGGAGCAGAAGUGUGCCUCGGUGAAUGGAGCUCCACCUGUAUGCAGAUGACCGGGGCUGAAUAGAGGCCCGGAGACAUGCCUUUGUGGUGCAGGAGAAGCAGCAGCUUGUGGAAGUGUGCCGCUAUGAGCCCUGGGAGGCCGGGGAUAAAGGCACCGAGGGCAGCGGGGUGACAAGCUGUCCGUAUGUAGAUGAAACAAUGCCAAGCGUUAACAAGCCUAAGCUAGCGGUAAUGACAGAGGUUGGCUCAACAAAAGGCAGCAUUUGAAAUACAAUCUGUGAUCAACUAGAGUCAAUAAGGGGCAUAUUACGGCCAUUUGGCCCCUUUAAGCCCUUUUAUUCCCUAUUCAUUGUGUCAUAAUGUUGAUCUUCUGUAUGACCUUUAUGCCAACGCCAGCAGAGGAUAUUGUGUGUGCAUUAGCAGCCGAGGCUGGAGGGCACGGCGAGAGCGAUGGCGUGAUAAAGUCAGGACAGGAACGUGAUCAACAGGAUAACAUCUCACUUCUGCUAAUGCAGCAACAAUGGAGCAUCAGCAUCAAGGAUUAGAUCACUCCUACACAUCUUCAAACGCCAAUAAAAAGCUGCACAGCUGCGUCUGAGCAGAGGAGUUCAGACAGGCGUUUAGCCCUCUGAACACAAAGCUGUUUCCCGGUGCGUGUUUGUUUUUUCUUAAUGUGAAGCAGCACAACCGUGGCUAGAUGUACAGAGAACCCAGAGGUGUCUUCUGUGCAGACUGACACAGAAAAAGAUGUGAUUGUUGUAUUUAGAUGCUUAUAAAAACUGGAAUCGGCAUGUACAUUUUUCCAGGUGUCCACAGGUGUUACUAAUAUGGAAAAACUGGAUAAACACAGCCUGCAGUUCAGCCAAAUACUGUUGGUUGCAGCUAAGUUCUGCCUUUUUUGCACCAAAAAGUGCAGAAUUUUUGAUUUUUACAUGAUAUAUUCUACGUAAAUCGUGUAUUUUUGGUGAUUUUUUUAAACAAAACAUGUAGGGAAAAGUGAUGUUGAUGCGGUUUCUGGUUGUAUUUUUUGCUCCUGUCAUGUUUUUCCUCACUGUCGGUUAAUUUUUCACUGCAAUAUAAAGUUCUGCACCCUUAUGGAACCAGAAAAAGCAUGACGCAGACAUCAGAAAUGUCUUUUGCAUGGUGAGAUACAGCUAGAAUGAUAGAAAUCAUACGGAAAGAAGCAUCCAAAGUUGCAUUUUAUUGGUAAUUUAUUUCGAAAAUCGAAAAAAAUAACCAACAUCUGCUAGUAAUAGAAAGGUGGUAGUUUUACAUAGGUUUACGCUUUUUACAAAAACAUUUUAAAUUUGUUUCCAUGCAUGUCCUUCCUCAGUUUACACUGCCUGCAUUUCAGCUGAGUGCUGGAUUUUGACAUGUGACUGUUAGUGACGGCUUUUCACUUCCACUGAGUUCUGAUCUUUUUUAUUUAAUUUUACAGAAUUUCUCUUGGUGUAAAAUGGUAUAUUUUUUAGAUUUUUUUUAAAUAAGACAUGUAGAAUAAAGCAAUUUUGAUAAUAUA
Long non-coding RNA from Acanthochromis polyacanthus (spiny chromis), 2003 nucleotides. RefSeq lists it as uncharacterized. The transcript has 2 exons. The record is from RefSeq and is a predicted model, not a curated record. Lineage: Eukaryota; Metazoa; Chordata; Actinopteri; Pomacentridae.